Molecule: ribosomal RNA, 253 nt
Filed under: uncultured bacterium
Lineage: Bacteria
Description: partial 16S ribosomal RNA
Rfam family: Bacterial small subunit ribosomal RNA
Source: RNAcentral
UACAGAGGGGGCAAGCGUUGUUCGGAAUUACUGGGCGUAAAGGGCGCGUAGGCGGCCUGCUAAGUCGAUCGUGAAAUCCCCGGGCUCAACCCGGGAACUGCGACCGAUACUGGUUGGCUUGAAUCCGGGAGAGGGAUGCGGAAUUCCAGGUGUAGCGGUGAAAUGCGUAGAUAUCUGGAGGAACACCGGUGGCGAAGGCGGCAUCCUGGACCGGCAUUGACGCUGAGGCGCGAAAGCCAGGGGAGCAAACGGG